AGAGUUUGAUCAUGGCUCAGGACGAACGCUGGCGGCGUGCUUAACACAUGCAAGUCGAACGAAGAGCGAUGGAAGCUUGCUUCUAUCAAUCUUAGUGGCGAACGGGUGAGUAACGCGUAAUCAACCUGCCCUUCAGAGGGGGACAACAGUUGGAAACGACUGCUAAUACCGCAUACGAUCUAACCUCGGCAUCGAGGAUAGAUGAAAGGUGGCCUCUACAUGUAAGCUAUCACUGAAGGAGGGGAUUGCGUCUGAUUAGCUAGUUGGAGGGGUAACGGCCCACCAAGGCGAUGAUCAGUAGCCGGUCUGAGAGGAUGAACGGCCACAUUGGGACUGAGACACGGCCCAGACUCCUACGGGAGGCAGCAGUGGGGAAUCUUCCGCAAUGGACGAAAGUCUGACGGAGCAACGCCGCGUGAGUGAUGACGGCCUUCGGGUUGUAAAGCUCUGUUAAUCGGGACGAAAGGCCUUCUUGCGAAUAGUUAGAAGGAUUGACGGUACCGGAAUAGAAAGCCACGGCUAACUACGUGCCAGCAGCCGCGGUAAUACGUAGGUGGCAAGCGUUGUCCGGAAUUAUUGGGCGUAAAGCGCGCGCAGGCGGAUAGGUCAGUCUGUCUUAAAAGUUCGGGGCUUAACCCCGUGAUGGGAUGGAAACUGCCAAUCUAGAGUAUCGGAGAGGAAAGUGGAAUUCCUAGUGUAGCGGUGAAAUGCGUAGAUAUUAGGAAGAACACCAGUGGCGAAGGCGACUUUCUGGACGAAAACUGACGCUGAGGCGCGAAAGCCAGGGGAGCGAACGGGGUUAGAUACCCCGGUAGUCCUGGCCGUAAACGAUGGGUACUAGGUGUAGGAGGUAUCGACCCCUUCUGUGCCGGAGUUAACGCAAUAAGUACCCCGCCUGGGGAGUACGACCGCAAGGUUGAAACUCAAAGGAAUUGACGGGGGCCCGCACAAGCGGUGGAGUAUGUGGUUUAAUUCGACGCAACGCGAAGAACCUUACCAGGUCUUGACAUUGAUGGACAGAACCAGAGAUGGUUCCUCUUCUUCGGAAGCCAGAAAACAGGUGGUGCACGGUUGUCGUCAGCUCGUGUCGUGAGAUGUUGGGUUAAGUCCCGCAACGAGCGCAACCCCUAUCUUAUGUUGCCAGCACGUAAAGGUGGGAACUCAUGAGAGACUGCCGCAGACAAUGCGGAGGAAGGCGGGGAUGACGUCAAAUCAUCAUGCCCCUUAUGACCUGGGCUACACACGUACUACAAUGGGAGUUAAUAGACGGAAGCGAGAUCGCGAGAUGGAGCAAACCCGAGAAACACUCUCUCAGUUCGGAUCGUAGGCUGCAACUCGCCUACGUGAAGUCGGAAUCGCUAGUAAUCGCAGGUCAGCAUACUGCGGUGAAUACGUUCCCGGGCCUUGUACACACCGCCCGUCAAGGGGCGGAAUUUCGUUUAACCC
RNAcentral lists this ribosomal RNA (1446 nucleotides) under uncultured bacterium. RNAcentral's name for it is "bacterial SSU rRNA". It matches the Rfam family "Bacterial small subunit ribosomal RNA". The record is from RNAcentral.